UUGCGUAUAUUUAUAUUUAAUUAUUGAUUAUUUGAUUUCCGUAAAACCGUUCACUCGUAACGAGGUAGCAAAUUUUCUUCCCGGAAUUUUCGACAAAACUCACCUUUAGCCUAAUUUGAAUAUUCCGGACAUUUUUCGUGUUUUGACUUUUUCGAUCCGGAGUACGGUUUUCCCGGGAGUCGGUCCGGCGGAGUUUUUCGGGUAUUGUAAUUGUCGAUAAUUACCCAGUUUGUCUCGAUAAACGUGAACCGAGAUAUUUUCUUCAUCCUUAUCAUGUAAUAAUUGCAGUGGGACCCGCAGACCAAUAAUUGAGUUAAAAAGCCCCGUUUUGAUGAUUAUCUCGAAAACCAGUACCGAUUGGACCCCGCUUUAUUAGUAUAAAGCUAUUAAAUACGUAUUUUCAUGCCAUAAACGAUCCAAAGGGGUACCAAUUAUUUGUAAAUAUAAAUAGACCUUUCUAGAGCUUAUUUUCACCCGUAAAAUCAUUUCACCAGUUUCUCUGCACGAAUUCCGAGAGAAACCGAGCGGUGUUCUUCGUGUUCUUCAUAAUCAAACGUGGAUUUGAAGGCGUUAUUGGAGUCAGAAUCAAGCGUGCGAAUAGUCAAAUCGAAGAUAUCGAAGAGUAGAAUCUAUAUCUGCAAUCAAAAACAACAUGAGAUUCACAGAAAGGCUGAAAGAUGAGAUGAUUGGUUGAGAUUGUGAAUAAGGCUAAUGUUAGACGAGGAGACAGAGUUGAGGAUCCAGUGGGCGAGGAGUGUUCAGGAAAGUGAUGAGAUUGGUGCAAGCUAGAGUGUAAGUCAUAGCUGGAAUGGCUGACAGUGAUUCUUCUUAUCGAAGAUGAUCUGACUUGGUAAGAGAUGUUGUGUAAUAUUA
Long non-coding RNA from Daucus carota subsp. sativus, 873 nucleotides. RefSeq lists it as uncharacterized. The record is from RefSeq and is a predicted model, not a curated record. NCBI's taxonomy places the organism in Eukaryota, Viridiplantae, Streptophyta, Magnoliopsida, Apiales, Apiaceae. The transcript has 2 exons.